Molecule: RNA transcript, 2829 nt
Organism: Corylus avellana
Lineage: Eukaryota; Viridiplantae; Streptophyta; Magnoliopsida; Fagales; Betulaceae
Gene name: beta-1,3-n-acetylglucosaminyltransferase radical fringe protein, putative (DUF604)
Source: RefSeq, a predicted model, not a curated record
GAGAGAGAGAGACUCCGUUUGACGUUGAUUUAUGCGCCUAUAUCCCCGUUCUGGAACCCAAGUGAAGUGACUCUACUCUCCCAAUUUCCCCAAUUUCCUCCCCUGACUAGUACUCUCUCAACUCCGUAGUGUUUGUUGGUGGCGAGUGGUGGAAAUGAACGUUGGGGGCGAUGAUGGUGACGAAGAUGAACAAGAAAUUGACGAAGGCAACGACGACGACGAUGCCCUGUUACCAUCCUGACCUCCACAAGAAUCGAUGCCGUAGCCGAAGCAGUCCAUGGCGUCAGAGCCGCACGGGCACUGCCGUCGUGGCCGUGGCGGCACUCCUCCUCUCUACAACAGUAUGGCUCUCUCUUGUCUUCUCCGGGACCACCACCCACUGCUGGCAGCGUUUCAAGCAUUGGGAAGGCAGCCCCCAUUCUCUCCUCUGGACCGGGAGGAAUCGUCGUCGUUCCGAUCUUCUUUCGUCAUCGGCGCCCUCCUCGCCUCCGCCUUUUCCCACUCACAGUGGCAGCCCUUCGGUGGAGUUGUCGCUGGAGCACAUUGUGUUUGGCAUUGCCGGAUCCUCGCAGCUCUGGAAACGGCGCAAGGAAUUCGUGAAGCUUUGGUGGCAUCCUGAUGACAUGCGCGGCCAUGUCUGGUUGGAGGAGCCAGUGCCUCGCGAGGAUGGCGAUGAUUCCUUACCCGCUGUCAUGGUUUCCGAGGACAUCUCCCGCUUCCGCUACACCAAUCCCACUGGUCACCCUUCUGGACUCCGCAUCUCUCGCAUUAUCACCGAGUGCUUCCGACUGGGUCUACCGGAUGUACGCUGGUUCGUUCUCGGUGACGAUGACACCAUUUUCAAUGCCGAUAAUCUGGUGGCUGUUCUCCGCAAGUACGAUCCUUCCGAGAUGAUUUACAUUGGGAGCCCCUCCGAGAGCCAUUCUGCCAAUACCUAUUUCAGCCACUCCAUGGCUUUUGGCGGUGGUGGGAUCGCUAUUAGUCGCCCACUGGCCGAGGCACUCUCCAAGAUUCAGGAUGACUGCCUCGACAGGUAUCCCAAGCUCUACGGAAGUGAUGAUCGCCUCCAUGCCUGCAUUUCCGAACUUGGCGUUCCAUUAACCAGGGAACAUGGCUUCCACCAGUGGGAUAUUAGGGGUGACGCACACGGUCUUCUGUCCUCUCACCCCAUUGCCCCCUUUGUUUCAAUUCACCAUGUCGAUGCUGUUGAUCCCUUUUAUCCCGGCCUGAGCUCUCUGGAGAGCUUGAAACUCUUUACAAAGGCCAUGAGACUCGACCCCAGGAGCUUCUUGCAGCGAUCAAUCUGUUAUGACCGAGCACGACGCCUCACUUUUUCAGUCUCACUUGGUUAUGUUGUUCAGGUUUUCCCAAACGUCGUGCUUCCCCGUGAGCUGGAGAGCUCAGAGGUCACCUACUCUGCUUGGAACAGAAUACGUGACAGGAAUGAAUUCGACUUCGACACCAGGGAUCCUUACACAUCUGUUUGUAAAAAACCUAUCCUUUUUUUCUUGAAAGACGUAGCCAGACAAGGAAAUGCUACAUUGGGUUCAUAUGCGUGGGCCAGAGGAAGAGAAGAUUUGAAAAGAAAAGUUCUCUGCUUUCCACGUUCUCCUCCUCUGCGCUAUGUGAAAAAUAUUCAGGUCUUGGGUUUUCCAUUGAGCAGGAAUUGGCAUGUGGCGCCACGUCGGUUAUGUUGCAAAAUAAACCAAACGAGUGAAGAAAGUCUUAGAUUAACAGUUGGUCAGUGCGGGAAGACAGCUUUCAGUUCUGUCACUGAUUUUGUCUGACUAUUGGCUGGGGAGAGUGGCAAUUCGGUCGAUUAUUCUAUUUAUUGGGAUAUAUGGAUACUACCUAAAAGGAGUGUCUCCACCAUCGUAUGCUUUAUACUUGUUGGGAUACAUUAACUCUACUCCUGUCUUUCAAUGAUCAUAGAUCAACUGAGAUCCGGCAUUUGAAAAUCCAUCUUGCAGAUUGCAGAUAUGAGGGCGCUAUGUUUUACGAAGUUGAAGACGAGUGUCCACGCUUCAGCUCGGAUAAAAGAGAUGACUUCUGUUGACAGAUUCGGUCUUGUACUUUAUGGACCUUGUUUAGAGGUGAUGCAGAUCAUAGAAAUUGGGAACCACUUGGAACAGUGUAGGGUAUAUGGGAACACCGACUGUUGACUCUCGAAUAGUAUUUGUCAUCCUCUGUCAGAUUCCUUGUUGCAUUUUCUGUCUUGAUGUUGAAGAAUACCUUAGGGGCGGUGGUGGUGGUGGUCAAGGAAAAAAGGCCUUAGAAGCGAUUUGACGCACCGGGUAUGCAUGAGUGAAUGAAUAUUGAGGAGGUAUUUUGUCUUCAUUGCUGGUACUCGUCAGUUCUUAUGAUUUUUGGUCAAUCAUGGGCAAACUCUCUCUCUCUCUCUCUCUCAUACACACACGUGUGUGGUUGUGGUUGUUGUUGUAAAGUGAUCUUUCAACGUUGCCUGAAGAUACAAAGCUCAAAGUUGAAUCAAGUCCAAGCUCAACUCACUCUUAAGCCUAAAACAAAGUGCUAGUAUCUGAGAUGUGAUAAACUUUGAUGUUAGUGCCGGGAUGCAUAGUCAUACAAGUAAAUGGGGCCUUGAGUUGCUCAAAGAAGAGAGGAGGGGGGAUUUUCUGGUUUUGAGUUUAACUACACUAAUAUAAUUUAGUAUGUUAUUUAUGCCAAAGUUUUGCCCCUUGCUUAAAGUGGAGACAAAGUCUACCCACACUUUGUCAAAUUUUCAUACUGCAGGGUCAAGAUCGAGGGGAAGAGGGACUAUUAUUAUGACUUUGUUUAGUAAUAAUGUGUAGCCAUGUUCAUAUAGGUGCA